GAUGAACGCUGGCGGCGUGCCUAAUACAUGCAAGUCGAGCGAACAGACGAGGAGCUUGCUCCUCUGACGUUAGCGGCGGACGGGUGAGUAACACGUGGAUAACCUACCUAUAAGACUGGGAUAACUUCGGGAAACCGGAGCUAAUACCGGAUAAUAUAUUGAACCGCAUGGUUCAAUAGUGAAAGACGGUUUUGCUGUCACUUAUAGAUGGAUCCGCGCCGCAUUAGCUAGUUGGUAAGGUAACGGCUUACCAAGGCAACGAUGCGUAGCCGACCUGAGAGGGUGAUCGGCCACACUGGAACUGAGACACGGUCCAGACUCCUACGGGAGGCAGCAGUAGGGAAUCUUCCGCAAUGGGCGAAAGCCUGACGGAGCAACGCCGCGUGAGUGAUGAAGGUCUUCGGAUCGUAAAACUCUGUUGUUAGGGAAGAAAAAAUGUGUAAGUAACUAUGCACGUCUUGACGGUACCUAAUCAGAAAGCCACGGCUAACUACGUG
Molecule: ribosomal RNA, 497 nt
Filed under: uncultured bacterium
Lineage: Bacteria
Description: partial 16S ribosomal RNA
Rfam family: Bacterial small subunit ribosomal RNA
Source: RNAcentral